GCACCCCUCCCUGUGUCCUGCAUUGUUCUCCCUGCUCCAGGCUCCUUGUGCUCCCCUCCCUCCUCUUCUCUCUCUUGGCAUUUCUGUUUGUCUCUGUUCAUCCUUCAGUCUCCCUCACUCUCUGUCACUCUCUGUCUGUAUCUUUCCACAUCUCCAUGACUCUGUCACUGUAUUUUCCCAACUCACCCUCCCUGUACUUCCCCCUCUUUACUUCCUCCCCUUUCCCUCUCACAGAUACUAACCGCCACAUCAGAUGUGGUGCUUCUGCAGGCAGCACUUUCUUGGGCUGUCCACUUGGGUGAAGCCCUCAGAAUUCCUCUUAUGCACCCCCCCACACUUACCCUGACAGCAUUGCAGCCCCCCCCCCCCCAUCCCCCAAAACCUGGCUCUGAACAGGCCCAGGCUUUCUGUUCUUCUAGGGCCAGAGGGUAGGGAGCUGUCCGUUCAGCACCAACACCUGCCCUCUAGCUUUGCAGAGCAAGUGCCCACAGCCAGUGUCCCCAGUGCCCAACUAGAAAAGGAGGCCAUGAGCCCUGUCAGAAGAUGGAGGAGCCCACUGUCAGAGUGGGAAUGAAUGAGCUAUUUGUGGUCCAUUUGUGACAAGCCAGACCCCAAAGUAGACACGUUGGUCAGGUGUCUCACUAGUGUUUAACCAUCUUCAGGUUCAAGACUGUCCCCCUGCUCAACCGAGAUGAUACUGGACCCAAGGGGUGAGGGUGACUUGUGCAAAACUCCUCAAGUACAGUUCAGGUGGUCUGUGUUCUUUCCACAACUCCAGCAUGUCACAAAGACCAGGAGGCUCAGAGACCCAUGCCCCCGCCUCCCUGGCUAGAGAAGCUGGGACAGGUCUCCAGAGAGAUGCUCCAGAGAGGGAACAUGGCUUCUGUGAAGGAAAAGCUACCUACAGGGCUCUUCCCAGGGGCAGACACCAAUUUGGACAAGUGUUGAGGUAGACAAGAAAAUUCCUGAUCAAAUUUCACAUGAGACAAUGUCUUUAAGUUGAGUUAAUGUGAAAUUGGGGAAAGUGCUGGUGUAGAAACAGGAAACAGGACAGAAAUCAUCAGCCCUUGUCUGAGGGAAUAGCUCACAGUGAGCAGGGUUUUCUCACAAUCAUUUCUCUGCAGAGAAUGAUGUUAUUUGAUCUAAAUGUCCUGAUGAUCCAGACUCCUCUGGAGAGAGCCUGAGAGACCUUAAAGGGAGCACAAUGAAUCCUGGGCUGGCAGCAGGGAGAGCCUUUAAGGGGCUUGGAGGGGAAGCAGGGCAAAGACAUAUCUUGAGGGAAGAGGUUGAGGGCCAGACCCAUCUAGGCACCUCUCCAUACACAGAGCUCAAGUCAGGAAACGCCUCUACAGCUUGGAGGCAUGCCCUUUUUCCCCCUCACCAGGACCCUUCUCUUCCCCAUCACUGACUUCAAGGAGUCAUUAAAAAACAAAUCUCUGCUGUGAACUGGAUUGCUUUCAUCUCCCCCCUCCUCUUCAUUGUAUUAAAUGUUAAAUAUGCAA
This is a long non-coding RNA of Panthera uncia (snow leopard), 1502 nucleotides long. RefSeq lists it as uncharacterized. NCBI's taxonomy places the organism in Eukaryota, Metazoa, Chordata, Mammalia, Carnivora, Felidae. The record is from RefSeq and is a predicted model, not a curated record. The transcript is spliced from 2 exons.